RNAcentral lists this ribosomal RNA (197 nucleotides) under uncultured bacterium. RNAcentral's name for it is "partial 16S ribosomal RNA". It matches the Rfam family "Bacterial small subunit ribosomal RNA", at positions 337 to 525 of the family's 1533-position model. The record is from RNAcentral.
UCCUACGGGAGGCAGCAGUAGGGAAUCUUCGGCAAUGGCAGCAAGUCUGAAUAAACCACGCCGCGUGAGUGAAGAAGGUUUUCGGAUCGUAAAGCUCUGUUGUUAGAGAAGAACGUGACUGUGCCUNAAGAGUUCACACCGGGACAGUACCUGCCANCAAANGCANUAAUAACUACGUGCCAGCAGCCGCGGUAAUA